This 253-nucleotide ribosomal RNA is filed under the name uncultured bacterium. RNAcentral's name for it is "partial 16S ribosomal RNA". It matches the Rfam family "Bacterial small subunit ribosomal RNA", at positions 524 to 776 of the family's 1533-position model. The record is from RNAcentral.
UACGUAGGGGGCGAGCGUUGUCCGGAAUCAUUGGGCGUAAAGCGCGUGUAGGCGGCUCGUUAAGUCCGGUGUGAAACCUUGGGGCUCAACCCCAAGCCUGCACUGGAUACUGACGAGCUCGAGUCCGGGAGGGGAGAGCGGAAUUCCUAGUGUAGCGGUGAAAUGCGCAGAUAUUAGGAAGAACACCGGUGGCGAAGGCGGCUCUCUGGAACGGUACUGACGCUGAGGUGCGAAAGCGUGGGGAGCAAACAGG